Molecule: ribosomal RNA, 597 nt
Filed under: uncultured bacterium
Lineage: Bacteria
Description: bacterial SSU rRNA
Rfam family: Bacterial small subunit ribosomal RNA
Source: RNAcentral
GCAGUCGAGCGGUAGAGAGGUGCUUGCACCUCUUGAGAGCGGCGGACGGGUGAGUAAAGCCUAGGAAUCUGCCUGGUAGUGGGGGAUAACGCUCGGAAACGGACGCUAAUACCGCAUACGUCCUACGGGAGAAAGCAGGGGACCUUCGGGCCUUGCGCUAUCAGCUGAGCCUAGGUCGGAUUAGCUAGUUGGUGAGGUAAUGGCUCACCAAGGCGACGAUCCGUAACUGGUCUGAGAGGAUGAUCAGUCACACUGGAACUGAGACACGGUCCAGACUCCUACGGGAGGCAGCAGUGGGGAAUAUUGGACAAUGGGCGAAAGCCUGAUCCAGCCAUGCCGCGUGUGUGAAGAAGGUCUUCGGAUUGUAAAGCACUUUAAGUUGGGAGGAAGGGCAUUAACCUAAUACGUUAGUGUUUUGACGUUACCGACAGAAUAAGCACCGGCUAACUCUGUGCCAGCAGCCGCGGUAAUACAGAGGGUGCAAGCGUUAAUCGGAAUUACUGGGCGUAAAGCGCGCGUAGGUGGUUCGUUAAGUUGGAUGUGAAAUCCCCGGGCUCAACCUGGGAACUGCAUUCAAAACUGUCGAGCUAGAGUAUG